GAUGAACGCUGGCGGCGUGCCUAAUACAUGCAAGUCGAGCGGACGGACGAGAAGCUCGCUUCUCUGAUGUUAGCGGCGGACGGGUGAGUAACACGUGGAUAACCUACCUAUAAGACUGGGAUAACUUCGGGAAACCGGAGCUAAUACCGGAUAAUAUUUUGAACCGCAUGGUUCAAAAGUGAAAGACGGUCUUGCUGUCACUUAUAGAUGGAUCUGCGCUGCAUUAGCUAGUUGGUAAGGUAACGGCUUACCAAGGCAACGAUGCAUAGCCGACCUGAGAGGGUGAUCGGCCACACUGGAACUGAGACACGGUCCAGACUCCUACGGGAGGCAGCAGUAGGGAAUCUUCCGCAAUGGGCGAAAGCCUGACGGAGCAACGCCGCGUGAGUGAUGAAGGUCUUCGGAUCGUAAAACUCUGUUAUUAGGGAAGAACAUAUGUGUAAGUAACUGUGCACAUCUUGACGGUACCUAAUCAGAAAGCCACGGCUAACUACGUG
Molecule: ribosomal RNA, 497 nt
Filed under: uncultured bacterium
Lineage: Bacteria
Description: partial 16S ribosomal RNA
Rfam family: Bacterial small subunit ribosomal RNA
Source: RNAcentral